RNAcentral lists this microRNA (22 nucleotides) under Aedes aegypti (yellow fever mosquito). RNAcentral describes it as "aae-miR-11926". Lineage: Eukaryota; Metazoa; Arthropoda; Insecta; Diptera; Culicidae. The record is from miRBase by way of RNAcentral.
UUGGACUGGCAUGCGUUUAUGG